This 384-nucleotide ribosomal RNA is filed under the name uncultured eukaryote. RNAcentral's name for it is "SSU rRNA". It matches the Rfam family "Eukaryotic small subunit ribosomal RNA", at positions 581 to 972 of the family's 1831-position model. The record is from RNAcentral.
AAUACCGUAGCUCGAAUUAUGUAUAUUAAAGUUGUUGCAGUUAAAAAGCUCGUAGUCGGAUUUUGGGGCGGGCCGACCGGUCUGCCGAUGGGUAUACUGGUCGGCGCGUCCUUCUUUCCGGAGACCGCGCCUACUCUUAACUGAGCGGGCGCGGAAGACGGAUCGUUUACUUUGAAAAAAUGAGUGUAUGGGCAGGCAGCUCGCUCGUGCAUGGAUUAGCAUGGGAUAAUGAAAUAGGACUCUGGUGCUAUUUUGUUGGUUUCGAACACCGGAGUAAUGAUUAACAGGGACAGUCAGGGUCACUCGUAUUCCGUCGAGAGAGGUGAAAUUCUCAGACCAAUGGAAGACGAACCACUGCGAAAGCAUUUGCCAGGGAUGUUUUCA